RNAcentral lists this ribosomal RNA (511 nucleotides) under uncultured microorganism. Its description in RNAcentral is "bacterial SSU rRNA". It matches the Rfam family "Bacterial small subunit ribosomal RNA", at positions 9 to 514 of the family's 1533-position model. The record is from RNAcentral.
GAGUUUGAUCGUGGCUCAGAUUGAACGCUGGCGGCAGGCUUAACACAUGCAAGUCGAGCGGGGGAGAUUGCUUCGGUAAUUGACCUAGCGGCGGACGGGUGAGUAAUACUUAGGAAUCUGCCUAUUAACGGGGACAACAUCUCGAAAGGGAUGCUAAUACCGCAUACGCCCUACGGGGGAAAGCAGGGGAUCACUUGUGACCUUGCGUUAAUAGAUGAGCCUAAGUCGGAUUAGCUAGUUGGUGGGGUAAAGGCCUACCAAGGCGACGAUCUGUAGCGGGUCUGAGAGGAUGAUCCGCCACACUGGGACUGAGACACGGCCCAGACUCCUACGGGAGGCAGCAGUGGGGAAUAUUGGACAAUGGGGGGAACCCUGAUCCAGCCAUGCCGCGUGUGUGAAGAAGGCCUUAUGGUUGUAAAGCACUUUAAGCGAGGAGGAGGCUCCUGUAGUUAAUACCUACAGAGAGUGGACGUUACUCGCAGAAUAAGCACCGGCUAAUCUGUGCCAGCCG